AGUGAACGCUGGCGGUAGGCCUAACACAUGCAAGUCGAACGGCAGCACAGUAAGAGCUUGCUCUUACGGGUGGCGAGUGGCGGACGGGUGAGGCAUACAUCGGAAUCUACUUUUUCGUGGGGGAUAACGUAGGGCAACUUACGCUAAUACCGCAUAUGUUCUACGGGUGAAAGCAGGGGAUAUUCGGACCUUGCGCGAUUGAAUGAGCCGAUGUCGGAUUAGCUAGUUGGCGGGGUAAAGGCCCACCAAGGCGACGAUCCGUAGCUGGUCUGAGAGGAUGAUCGGCCACACUGGAACUGAGACACGGUCCAGACUCCUACGGGAGGCAGCAGUGGGGAAUAUUGGACAAUGGGCGCAAGCCUGAUCCAGCCAUGCCGCGUGAGUGAUGAAGGUCUUCGGAUUGUAAAGCCCUGUUAUUGGGAAAGAAAAGAUGCAGAUUUAUACCCCGCUGUUCUGACGGUACCCAAUCAAAAAGCACCGGCUAACUUCGUG
RNAcentral lists this ribosomal RNA (492 nucleotides) under uncultured bacterium. RNAcentral describes it as "partial 16S ribosomal RNA". It matches the Rfam family "Bacterial small subunit ribosomal RNA", at positions 29 to 507 of the family's 1533-position model. The record is from RNAcentral.